GUGGCGCACGGGUGCGUAACGCGUGGGAAUCUGCCCCUUGGUUCGGAAUAACAGUUGGAAACGACUGCUAAUACCGGAUGAUGACGUAAGUCCAAAGAUUUAUCGCCGAGGGAUGAGCCCGCGUAGGAUUAGGUAGUUGGUGUGGUAAAGGCGCACCAAGCCGACGAUCCUUAGCUGGUCUGAGAGGAUGAUCAGCCACACUGGGACUGAGACACGGCCCAGACUCCUACGGGAGGCAGCAGUGGGGAAUAUUGGACAAUGGGCGAAAGCCUGAUCCAGCAAUGCCGCGUGAGUGAUGAAGGCCUUAGGGUUGUAAAGCUCUUUUACCCGGGAUGAUAAUGACAGUACCGGGAGAAUAAGCUCCGGCUAACUCCGUGCCAGCAGCCGCGGUAAUACGGAGGGAGCUAGCGUUAUUCGGAAUUACUGGGCGUAAAGCGCACGUAGGCGGCUUUGUAAGUAAGAGGUGAAAGC
RNAcentral lists this ribosomal RNA (471 nucleotides) under Sphingomonas sp. b121. Its description in RNAcentral is "bacterial SSU rRNA". It matches the Rfam family "Bacterial small subunit ribosomal RNA", at positions 95 to 601 of the family's 1533-position model. Lineage: Bacteria; Pseudomonadati; Pseudomonadota; Alphaproteobacteria; Sphingomonadales; Sphingomonadaceae. The record is from RNAcentral.